GAUGAACGCUGGCGGCGUGCCUAAUACAUGCAAGUCGAGCGAACGGACGAGAAGCUUGCUUCUCUGAUGUUAGCGGCGGACGGGUGAGUAACACGUGGAUAACCUACCUAUAAGACUGGGAUAACUUCGGGAAACCGGAGCUAAUACCGGAUGAUAUUUUGAACCGCAUGGUUCAAAAGUGAAAGACGGUCUUGCUGUCACUUAUAGAUGGAUCCGCGCUGCAUUAGCUAGUUGGUAAGGUAACGGCUUACCAAGGCAACGAUGCAUAGCCGACCUGAGAGGGUGGUCGCCCACACUGGAACUGAGACACGGUCCAGACUCCUACGGGAGGCAGCAGUAGGGAAUCUUCCGCAAUGGUCGAAAGCCUGACGGAGCAACGCCGCGUGAGUGAUGAAGGUCUUCGGAUCGUAAAACUCUGUUAUUAGGGAAGAACAUAUGUGUAAGUAACUGUGCACAUCUUGACGGUACCUAAUCAGAAAGCCACGGCUAACUACGUG
This 497-nucleotide ribosomal RNA is filed under the name uncultured bacterium. RNAcentral describes it as "partial 16S ribosomal RNA". It matches the Rfam family "Bacterial small subunit ribosomal RNA", at positions 28 to 507 of the family's 1533-position model. The record is from RNAcentral.